UGGCGCCGGGUGCGUAACGCGUGGGAAUCUGCCCCUUGGUUCGGAAUACAGUUGGAAACGACUGCUAAUACCGGAUGAUGACGUAAGUCCAAAGAUUUAUCGCCGAGGGAUGAGCCCGCGUAGGAUUAGGUAGUUGGUGUGGUAAGGCGCACCAGCCGACGAUCCUUAGCUGGUCUGAGAGGAUGAUCAGCCACGCUGGGACUGAGACACGGCCCAGACUCCUACGGGAGGCAGCAGUGGGGAAUAUUGGACAAUGGGCGAAAGCCUGAUCCAGCAAUGCCGCGUGAGUGAUGAAGGCCUUAGGGUUGUAAAGCUCUUUUACCCGGGAUGAUAAUGACAGUACCGGGAGAAUAAGCUCCGGCUAACUCCGUGCCAGCAGCCGCGGUAAUACGGAGGGAGCUAGCGUUAUUCGGAAUUACUGGGCGUAAGCGCACGUAGGCGGCUUUGUAAGUAAGAGGUGAAAGCCCAGAGCUCAACUCUGGAAUUGC
RNAcentral lists this ribosomal RNA (488 nucleotides) under Sphingomonas sp. UMB 5. RNAcentral's name for it is "bacterial SSU rRNA". It matches the Rfam family "Bacterial small subunit ribosomal RNA", at positions 96 to 624 of the family's 1533-position model. The record is from RNAcentral. Lineage: Bacteria; Pseudomonadati; Pseudomonadota; Alphaproteobacteria; Sphingomonadales; Sphingomonadaceae.